The sequence is a small nuclear RNA, 84 nucleotides long. Its record names the gene U4. It matches the Rfam family "U4 spliceosomal RNA". Rfam says of the family: U4 small nuclear RNA (U4 snRNA) is a component of the major U2-dependent spliceosome. The record is from Ensembl.
AUUCUUUCGCAGAGGCGAUAUCGUAGCCUGUGAGGUUAAUCCGAGGCGUGAUCAUUGCUGGUUGAAAACUUUACCCAAUGCCCC